Molecule: ribosomal RNA, 521 nt
Filed under: uncultured Pseudomonadaceae bacterium
Lineage: Bacteria; Pseudomonadati; Pseudomonadota; Gammaproteobacteria; Pseudomonadales; Pseudomonadaceae
Description: bacterial SSU rRNA
Rfam family: Bacterial small subunit ribosomal RNA
Source: RNAcentral
AGAGUUUGAUUAUGGCUCAGAUUGAACGCUGGCGGCAUGCCUUACACAUGCAAGUCGAACGGCAGCGCGGGGGCAACCCUGGCGGCGAGUGGCGAACGGGUGAGUAAUGUAUCGGAACGUAUCCUGUAAUGGGGGAUAACCAGUCGAAAGAUUGGGUAAUACCGCAUACGCACGAGAGUGGAAAGUAGGGGAUCGCAAGACCUUACGUUAUAGGAGCGGCCGAUAUCUGAUUAGCUAGUUGGUGGGGUAAAGGCCUACCAAGGCGACGAUCAGUAGCUGGUCUGAGAGGACGACCAGCCACACUGGGACUGAGACACGGCCCAGACUCCUACGGGAGGCAGCAGUGGGGAAUUUUGGACAAUGGGCGAAAGCCUGAUCCAGCCAUGCCGCGUGCAGGAAGAAGGCCUUCGGGUUGUAAACUGCUUUAGUCUAGGAAAAAGGGGUGCGAGGUUAAUACCCUCGUGCUUUGAUGGUACUGGAAGAAUAAGCACCGGCUAACUACGUGUCAGCCGCCGCGGUAA